AACGCAGCGAAGGGCGAUAAGUAAUGUGAAUUGCAGAAUUCAGUGAAUCAUCGAAUCUUUGAACGCACCUUGCGCCCCUUGGCUAUUCCGAGGGGGCAUGCCUGUUUGAGUAUCAUGAACACCUCAACUCUUGUGGUUCGCCAUGAAGAGCUUGGACUUGGGGGGCUUGCUGGCGCACAGCCGGCUCCUCUCAAAUGAAUUAGCCUGCCAGUGUUGGUGGCGUCACGGGUGUGAUAACUAUUUACGCUUGUGGUUGCCUGCCAGGUAACCUUCGGUGACGGAGGUUCGCUGGAGCUUAUAAACGUCUUUCCUUGGUGAAGACAGCUUUUUGAACGUUCGAUCUCAAAUCAGGUAGGACUACCCCGCUGAACUUAA
Molecule: ribosomal RNA, 375 nt
Filed under: uncultured fungus
Lineage: Eukaryota; Fungi
Description: eukaryotic LSU rRNA
Rfam family: 5.8S ribosomal RNA (bases 1-115)
Source: RNAcentral